This is a non-coding RNA of Meleagris gallopavo (turkey), 362 nucleotides long. Lineage: Eukaryota; Metazoa; Chordata; Aves; Galliformes; Phasianidae. The record is from RefSeq and is a predicted model, not a curated record.
CAUCACAAGGUGCUGCAAUCCAGAAUGGAGAAAGGCAUGAGGAGGAGACACACUGACAGACUGUUACUGUAAUUCAGUCUGAGCGUUGGGUUACCUUAAUAAUUAGGAUGAGAGGACACUUGCCAUUUGCCUCAUGCUCACCCAGGAGGCCCAGUGGGAAGUCCAACGAAAGCUUUGCUGUGGAUUUUUGGGAUUUCUGAGUGUGUAAUUCACCUAAUUCUCUACCAUGGGUUGCAUUGGACAUGUACAACUAUUUUUUCAAGGCAUUUUCCAGAAAGACGUUAUUUUUUUCUGAAGGGUUUGAUCUAAUGCAGAUCAAAUCUGCAUGUUUCACAGCGGCCAAAAUUUUUUUGUCUAAAAAA